This 716-nucleotide non-coding RNA is filed under the name Pongo abelii (Sumatran orangutan). The record is from RNAcentral. Lineage: Eukaryota; Metazoa; Chordata; Mammalia; Primates; Hominidae.
AUUGUGAUGAGGGUGAUGAUCCAGCAGUCCCAAUGUGCUAGGUCCCGGGCUGGGAUCCAUGUCGUCCUUACAACAAUUCAGCAAGAAACAUAUUAUUCGAUCCAUUCACUGAAGAGGAAACUGAAAUCACUCAGAGAGGAGGAGUGAUUCAGCCCCAAAUUCCAAAGUGGUAGAAGUGGACUUGGGCUCAGCUUCCCUAGUGUCUUAGCUACUCCCCCAUCUAACUGUUCAUUCCUGGGACAGGUGAGUCAUUCUGCCUGAACUUCCACAGUUAGACUGAGACAUAAAAUGCUAAUCUACCUGGAAAGACAGGGGUAUAUGUCAGAGCCAUUCUUCAAGAUCAGAUGACCUGUUAAGUCCAAGGACUCAUCUGAACCAUCAGUCACUCUCUGGCCCAGAGAGGUGGUGUUGUUUGCCAAGGACACACAGCAGGUGGCCAAGAUGGAGCCAAGCCAUUUUCCCCACUGCAGGGACCCCUGAUCUCCAUAAGUGUCCCUGACAUUUCAAGGGCACAAAUUCUCUGGACACACGGAGGGAAUAAUGCUGACAUUUUAUAGAAGCUGACCCACUGGAUAUCCUUCUCACCCAACUCCAUUAGGCUAGGGAGAGUAAGAGGCAUGGUGACAAGGUGGCAAAGAUGUCACCAUGCCAUCCAAUCACGAGGUCUCCAGGAAACUGUAUAAGAAGGACACCCCCAGAAACUCCUGGCACUACUG